This 2565-nucleotide long non-coding RNA is filed under the name Marmota monax (woodchuck). The record is from RNAcentral. Lineage: Eukaryota; Metazoa; Chordata; Mammalia; Rodentia; Sciuridae.
AGGGGGUGUACCGGGGAUUGAACUCAGGAGCAUUCCACCACUGAGCCACUUCCCCAGCCCUAUUUUUUGUAUUUUAUUUAGAGACAGGGUCUCACUGAGUUGCUUAGCACCUCACCAUUGCUGAGGCUGGCUUUGAACUCAUGAUCCUCCUGCCUCAGCCUCCUGAGCCACUGGGAUGAUAGGCAUGUGCCACGGGGCCCAGCUGGUUUUAUCCUUUCUUAACAUCCGUCCCCACUAUCUAAUUCCAGAACAUUUCACCACCCAAAAUGCAACCAUGUGCUGGUAGCUGUCCCUCUCCUCCUGCCCUGGUGACCACGGGUCUCUCUCUGUCUCUGCGGAUUUGCCUAUUCCAUUUAUGUUCCACACACCACCUGGUCUUUCAUGUCUGACAUUUUUUUCAGUUAGCACAAUGUCUCAGGGCUCCCGGGUUGUGACAUGCUUCAGCUCUUCAUUCCUUUGUACAGCAGAAUAGUGCUGCAUUUUGUAGAUCAGCCACAUUUUGCUUCUCUGUUUAUCAACUGAUAGGCUCUGUGGUUCUUUUCACUCUGGGCUAUUAUGAACAGUGCUACUGCAAAUAUUUGUGUACAUGUUUUUGUGUGGACAUACGUUCAGUUAUCUUGGGGUAUACCAAAGGAGUAGAAUUGCUGGGUCCUAUGAAGAUAGGACAUUCUAUUUAAAGAUGGAAAAUGCAGAAGAACCCAUUAAAUCAUGUGACCUGGUGGCUGCCUACAGUCAUCCCACUGUUUAGAGCUGUAUGACCCCAGAUAAGUGAACUGACCUCUCUGAAUCUCAGUGGCUUUUAUUAUUAUUGUUGUUGUUUGUGUGUUAAGUGUCUUAAAUGAAGAGAGUGCCUUCUUGAUGUCCUUGUGAAAAUUAACUAAAUAAUGUAGGUGGAAGUGUUCGUAAGUGAUGCAGUGUGAGGCUCUUGGGUAUCUUCAUCCGUCUGUCAGACGUGCUUCUACGGCAGGGCAGCUGCUCACAGGUGAAUGCUGGGAACAUCCCCUGCAGCAUGGGCUGUGCCCAGCAAACUCUUUCCUUCCUAGCUAGUGGCCCUGCUGGAAAAUAGCCCCAUGAGAGGUGCCUAGAGAAGAAAUAAAUCUUUUCUUUGGGAAUUUCCAGCACCAUCUUGAGCCAGAGUGAGUGACUUUCCAGUUGCAUACGCUACACUCACAAUGCACACAUGUUAAACACAUGGUACACAUUACAUGGUGUACCACACAUCACAGUGUGCUGCACACGCACUUCAUGUGUGCCACACACUCAGUGCACAUGUCUCCCACUCACUUAUGCUGCUCCCUGCACACGUUACAUGCUGAAUGUGUGCUCAUACAUGUUGCAUUGCACUGCAUACAUGUCAUACGCACUGUGUAUGUGCCACACACUGCACAUGUGCUUCACACAUGCUACUCACUCCACACAAGCUGCUCAUGCUACACAGUGCUGCACAUGUAUACAUGCUAUAGACACACGCACGCUGCAUGCACUAGGUAUGCUGGGUACACACAGAGGAUGCACACACACGCUGCACAUACCUCCUCACCCAGAGCCAGGUGUGGCCACGCUCCCGGGAAGCUGGCCCACCAUCGCUCGGUCGGGUCCUCCCCACUGUGUGGUGCUUCACCUCCGGACCCCUCUCCCUUCAAAGAGCUGUCCUGUCCUCAAUUACAUCUGCCCGUGCUUCCCAAAUGGGCCUGUCCUGGGUCACAUCUCCUUGGGGCCUUGCUCCUGUGGCUCCCCCACAGUCAGAGCUAAGUGCACUGAUGUGAUGGUGAACUCCCAGGAGCAGGCAGGAAGGUGGCCUGGCAUCUUCCAGCUCUGCCACUUACUAGUUGUGUGGCCUUGUAGUCGCCCACUGUGGGCUUGAGUUUUCUCCUGUGCGAAACAGGGAUAAUGAUAAGCAGCCACCACAGGGGAUGAUGGUGGAGCAAACGGGGUCUGCUGUGCCCUACGUCACCCGUCACCCACCAUGUUCAACAGUCGGGACUCUCAGCAUGGCUGGUGCUACUACCCCACCCUCAUCAUCCGCGUGUGGCCAGUCCCUGUCUUCUCCACCCACCAAAGCAGCUGCCUUCAAUGCAACUGGAGCCGUCCCCACCCCAGUACUGUGUCACCAAGGGCUGGGGUUGAUGCUGCAAUUCUGGUGAGGAGGCUGGGACAGGUGUGCUCUUCGGCACCGGCUGACAGCCAGCAAGUGGACAAUAUACUAUUUAUAGAGUCCUCUGAGGGUCAUCACUAAUGUUACCUGAUAUUUAUGUACAUCUGCCUCUCCCUGAAGCUGUCCUGCUCACAAUUUUGUUGGUACCAACCUACGUGUGCAUGGCUGUCACCACCCUCCUGACCCCUAGGGUUCAGGGUUGUAACUUGAAAUCCCCAAGACCCAGGACCCAGCCCUGCCCCACCUCCGGGCUUCCGUCACUUCCCCCGCUGCAGUCCCAGCAGCCUCACUGGUCAGCUGGCCUCCCAGAGGCCCUCCGCUCUGUGGCCUCGCUGCCUUUGCAGCUCUGCUCCCCCACCAGGACGCGACUGCCACCUCCUCCCACCCCACACCCACUUCACCAGUUACUC